RNAcentral lists this ribosomal RNA (418 nucleotides) under uncultured anaerobic ammonium-oxidizing bacterium. Its description in RNAcentral is "bacterial SSU rRNA". It matches the Rfam family "Bacterial small subunit ribosomal RNA", at positions 383 to 810 of the family's 1533-position model. The record is from RNAcentral.
GUGAACGAGCGACGCCGCGUGGAGGAUGAAGGCCUUCGGGUUGUAAACUCCUGUCGAGGGGGAGGAAGGGGAAACCUUGACCGAUCCCUGGAGGAAGCACGGGCUAAGUUCGUGCCAGCAGCCGCGGUAAGACGAACCGUGCGAACGUUAUUCGGAAUCACUGGGCUUAAAGCGCGUGUAGGCGGAUGGGAACGUCGGAUACUGAAAGCCCCCGGCUCAACCGGGGAAGUGGUUCCGAAACGACCUGUCUGGAGGGACGUAGGGGGAUCUGGAACUUCCGGUGGAGCGGUGAAAUGCGUUGAGAUCGGAAGGAACGCCCGUGGCGAAAGCGAGGUCCUGGACGUCUGCUGACGCUGAGACGCGAAAGCUAGGGGAGCAAACGGGAUUAGAUACCCCGGUAGUCCUAGCCGUAAACGAU